Molecule: long non-coding RNA, 958 nt
Organism: Piliocolobus tephrosceles (Ugandan red Colobus)
Lineage: Eukaryota; Metazoa; Chordata; Mammalia; Primates; Cercopithecidae
Exons: 5
Source: RefSeq, a predicted model, not a curated record
AGACCCAGAACUCCACCCCAUUUCUGAAAACUUGCUGUCAGGCCCUCUCUCUUUGCUGAGAGCUUUCCUUUUGCUUAAUAAAUCCUACUCUACUCACUCUCCAGUAUCCAUGUACCUCAUUCUUGGCUAGCAGCCUUCGCUCUCGGCGCCUCUUCAGCCUUGGCGUCCACUCUGGCAGCGCUUGAGGAGCCCUUUAGCUCGCCACUGCACUGUGGGAGACCCUUUCAGGGCUGGCCGAGGCCGGAGCCGGCUCCCUCUGGUUGCAGGUUUUCGUGAGUUGUUGUGAGCUGUUAACGCUAACUGCGAAGGUCUGCAGUUUCGUUCCUGAAGCCAGUGAGACGACGAGCGGCAACGAAGAAUUAAUACUUCCACUUCCGGAAGUGCCGCCUUUAAUAAAGCUGUGAGGCUCGCAGGGAAGGUUUGCAACUUCACUCUUAAAGUCAACAAGACUGCAAACCAACCAGAAGUAAAAAACCACGAACACAUCUGAAAAAACAAACUCCAGGCAUACCAUUUGUAAGAACUGUAACGCUUACUGCGAGGGUCUGUGGCUUUAUUCUUAGCGAGAUCAAGAACCCACCGACUCCGGAAAGAAUACUGCAAGAACUUGGUCCUAGCUGAACUAAGAACAGGAUCAGACACAUGGAAAGGAUUCCACAAAUACUUGUUAAGUGAAUGAAUUCUGAUUCACCUGGCUCAAAAUUUCUUAAGGAAUAAUCAUAUGCUUUUGCUCAGAUUGUACAAGAACCAUACUCAAAUAUGAAACCUUAUAUACAAAAAGGAAAAAAGAAAAAAAAGAAGCCAAUUUGUAUUUACUCUUAGAAGCUGAGAAAAGACAUGUACGAGUUAAGCAGCCCGUGAGGAACACUUCUCCAGCACACAGUUUAUUGCCUUUAUCAGAGUCUGGUUCUGUCACCCAGACUGGAGUGCAGCAGCAUGAUCUUGGCUCACUGCAACC